UGUAUAAGAGACAGCAGCAGCCGCGGGAAUACGUAGGUGGCAAGCGUUGCCCGGAAUUAUUGGGCGUAAAGCGCGCGCAGGCGGAUCAGUCAGUCUGUCUUAAAAGUUCGGGGCUUAACCCCGUGAUGGGAUGGAAACUGCUGAUCUAGAGUAUCGGAGAGGAAAGUGGAAUUCCUAGUGUAGCGGUGAAAUGCGUAGAUAUUAGGAAGAACACCAGUGGCGAAGGCGACUUUCUGGACGAAAACUGACGCUGAGGCGCGAAAGCCAGGGGAGCGAACGGGAUUAGAUACCCCUGUAGUCCCUGUCUCUUAUACA
This 315-nucleotide ribosomal RNA is filed under the name uncultured bacterium. RNAcentral's name for it is "partial 16S ribosomal RNA". It matches the Rfam family "Bacterial small subunit ribosomal RNA", at positions 498 to 809 of the family's 1533-position model. The record is from RNAcentral.